GAUGAACGCUGGCGGCGUGCCUAAUACAUGCAAGUCGAGCGAACGGACGAGAAGCUUGCUUCUCUGAUGUUAGCGGCGGACGGGUGAGUAACACGUGGAUAACCUACCUAUAAGACUGGGAUAACUUCGGGAAACCGUAGCUAAUACCGGAUAAUAUUUUGAACCGCAUGGUUCAAAAGUGAAAGACGGUAUUGCUGUCACUUAUAGAUGGAUCCGCGCUGCAUUAGCUAGUUGGUAAGGUAACGGCUUACCAAGGCAACGAUGCAUAGCCGACCUGAGAGGGUGAUCGGCCACACUGGAACUGAGACACGGUCCAGACUCCUACGGGAGGCAGCAGUAGGGAAUCUUCCGCAAUGGGCGAAGGCCUGACGGAGCAACGCCGCGUGAGUGAUGAAGGUCUUCGGAUCGUAAAACUCUGUUAUUAGGGAAGAACAUAUAUGUAAGUAACUGUGCACAUCUUGACGGUACCUAAUCAGAAAGCCACGGCUAACUACGUG
RNAcentral lists this ribosomal RNA (497 nucleotides) under uncultured bacterium. RNAcentral's name for it is "partial 16S ribosomal RNA". It matches the Rfam family "Bacterial small subunit ribosomal RNA", at positions 28 to 507 of the family's 1533-position model. The record is from RNAcentral.